ACGAAAACAGCUGAUAGUAUUGUGAACGUUGCCCUUAAAAAUACAUAACCCUAACUUAGUUUCGUUAACCUUAAAUGCCCAGGUUUGAUAAUUUUGCUUCUUAGAAAUACAUAAAAUAUAAUAACUUAAAAAUUACAAAACCUUGAAAGUAGUUAAUUUCUGAUAUUCAUUUCGAGUCAUAUCUUGCACACACCGAUGGCAAAUGCCCUUGUCGGACUAGUAAUGCGCAGUCUGAUGACUAAAUCGAAGACGUAUACCUAACAAAAAUUCUCCCCAUUUAGUAAAAGCAGAAUUUUGCAUAUCUGUGCUGAACAAAAAUUACCUGAAAUGAGUUUAUUAUUAAAUAAAAUCAUCUUACAAUUAUUAUACUGCAAUGGAGCACGACAACUAUGGGUACACACGUUAUGCAUUCAUGACAUAAAGAGCUUCCACUUGUGAUGUUUGCGUUAUGGGGUGUCAUCAUCUAGGAAUUGUGAAAAUUUUGCAGAGGAUGAUGCUGUCAUUGGUGAGCCCUUCUUCUUGCUUGUAGCAGUUAUUAAAUUGCAAGGAGCAUUGUGAUAGAAUGGCGUCUGUUAUGUUCUCUCUUUCUGUGGUUGUGUGUUGUGAUGGUUUAGUAUGGUCUGUUUUAUGGUGGUGACUUUCCUUAUUGGUAUGUAUUUUUAUAAUUCUUUGUCAGCGGUAUAUGCUCAAACUGUGAUGAACUUGUUUGUAGCAUUACAGUGGUAGUUCCGGCAUGCAGCCACCAAGGAAUAGUGAUUCUGGCUGGAAAUCAUAGAAGUAUCAGGUUUCAGAAAUUAAGUUUCAUCCCUGUUGUGACCAGCUGACAAAGAGAAAGACUCUUGCGGCGCAUCAGCCACCAAGGGAUGGGAUGUGUGUGUCUCAUCGCCACUGAGCUGCAUGUGCACCACCACCAAGGUUUGAAUGUGCAUCACAUAAGGAUGUGUGAUGAAGCAGAACAAAAAUGGCCCAAUGCCAAAGACCAUGGCUUUCCAACUGAGAAGCAAAACUUGUAUGAACAAGAGCAGAUGAGUAUUCAGACAUAUGAGAG
Cryptotermes secundus is the source of this 1048-nucleotide long non-coding RNA. RefSeq lists it as uncharacterized. NCBI's taxonomy places the organism in Eukaryota, Metazoa, Arthropoda, Insecta, Blattodea, Kalotermitidae. The record is from RefSeq and is a predicted model, not a curated record. The transcript has 2 exons.